This 324-nucleotide ribosomal RNA is filed under the name uncultured bacterium. RNAcentral's name for it is "bacterial SSU rRNA". It matches the Rfam family "Bacterial small subunit ribosomal RNA", at positions 28 to 334 of the family's 1533-position model. The record is from RNAcentral.
GACGAACGCUGGCGGCGCGCCUAACACAUGCAAGUCGAGCGAUGAAGACAUGACCGACGCCUUCGGGAAGAAGUUAAGUUGGAUUAGUGGCGAACGGGUGAGUAACACGUGAGUAACCUGCCCCCGACUCUGGGAUAAGCCCGGGAAACUGGGUCUAAUACCGGAUAUUACCUCUUGCCGCAUGGCAGGUGGUGGAAAGAUUUGUCGGUGGGGGAUGGACUCGCGGCCUAUCAGCUUGUUGGUGAGGUAAUGGCUCACCAAGGCGACGACGGGUAGCCGGCCUGAGAGGGUGACCGGCCACACUGGGACUGGGACACGGCCCAG